Molecule: ribosomal RNA, 433 nt
Filed under: uncultured bacterium
Lineage: Bacteria
Description: partial 16S ribosomal RNA
Rfam family: Bacterial small subunit ribosomal RNA
Source: RNAcentral
AACGAACGCUGGCGGCAUGCCUAACACAUGCAAGUCGAACGAGACCUUCGGGUCUAGUGGCGCACGGGUGCGUAACGCGUUGGAACCUGCCCUUAGGUUCGGAAUAACUCCCCGAAAGGGGUUCUAAUACCGGAUAAUGUCUUCGGACCAAAGAUUUAUCGCCUUUGGAUGGGCCCGCUUUGGAUUAGCUAGUUGGUAGGGUAAAAGCCUACCAAGGCUACGAUCCAUAGCUGUUCUGAGAGGAUGAUCAGCCACACUGGGACUGAGACACGGCCCAGACGACUACGGGAGGAAGCAGUGGGGAAUAUUGGACAAUGGGCGAAAGCCUGAUCCAGCAAUGCCGCGUGAGUGAUGAAGGCCUUAGGGUUGUAAAGCUCUUUUACCCGGGAUGAUAAUGACAGUACCGGGAGAAUAAGCUCCGGCUAACUCCGUG